Podarcis muralis (Common wall lizard) is the source of this 622-nucleotide non-coding RNA. The record is from RefSeq and is a predicted model, not a curated record. Lineage: Eukaryota; Metazoa; Chordata; Lepidosauria; Squamata; Lacertidae.
AGAUAUGGAAAACCAAUAAAAAUAUUAUUAUUAUCAUUUUUUAAAAAUCUGCUCCGUUUAUCAGUAAUGCUAUGUCUUAUUGUUUCCUGAAAACCAAGGAGCUUUUGUGAUCCUUGAUGGAAGCCCCUGGAAAGAGGCCCUUUCUGCCGCCAACUGAGGCUUGGCAGGGGGGGGGUUGCUGGGGAUGAGAGAGGAAGCAGGCGGCGUUUGCCCCCUUCAUUCUCUUCAGGGUGAAGAAGAAGAAUCCUGCAGAACUUGUUUGGGCCAGUCAGCAUUCCAAGGAGGCCGCCUGGUCAGAAAGGCCUCUUGAAAAACUUGUCUGCGCAGAAAAGGGGAAAUAAGUGUGCUGGGCUGAGUUCUCGCCCAUUUCUCCUUCCUGCCUUGAGAAGCUGGAAGGGGGAGGCAUUAAAUGUUGGUGGGGGCCAGCAAGGGACAUGAAGGAUGGAGAGGAAUGGCAGGCACCCCCAAACUCGGCCCUCCAGAUGUCAUCAGUGCAGAGCCUGUACUUCUGAUGAAGCCUAGAUGGCGAAGCAAGGCUAAUAUUCCAGAAAUCCUUGUCUUAGACUCUGCGAAAGGAUUCUGUGGAACUGUAACAACUCUUCAUGUGGAUUAUUGGACUCUG